GGGUUGUGAGGUUAAGCGACUAAGCGUACACGGUGGAUGCCCUGGCAGUCAGAGGCGAUGAAGGGCGUGCUAAUCUGCGAUAAGCGCCGGUAAGGUGAUAUGAACCGUUAUAACCGGCGAUACCCGAAUGGGGAAACCCAGUGUGAYUCGUCACACUAUCAUUAACUGAAUCCAUAGGUUAAUGAGGCGAACCGGGGGAACUGAAACAUCUAAGUACCCCGAGGAAAAGAAAUCAACCGAGAUUCCCCCAGUAGCGGCGAGCGAACGGGGAGGAGCCCAGAGCCUGAAUCAGCAUGUGUGUUAGUGGAAGCGUCUGGAAAGGCGCGCGAUACAGGGUGACAGCCCCGUACACAAAAGCGCAUGUGCUGUGAGCUCGAUGAGUAGGGCGGGACACGUGGUAUCCUGUCUGAAUAUGGGGGGACCAUCCUCCAAGGCUAAAUACUCCU
Molecule: ribosomal RNA, 446 nt
Filed under: Salmonella enterica subsp. enterica serovar Enteritidis
Lineage: Bacteria; Pseudomonadati; Pseudomonadota; Gammaproteobacteria; Enterobacterales; Enterobacteriaceae
Description: partial 23S ribosomal RNA
Source: RNAcentral